UCUCAAUUCUUCUUCUUCUUCUGCUUGUUCUUGGUCGUCUCAAUCUCUC
Molecule: small RNA, 49 nt
Filed under: Arabidopsis thaliana (thale cress)
Lineage: Eukaryota; Viridiplantae; Streptophyta; Magnoliopsida; Brassicales; Brassicaceae
Description: ATSL071700
Source: RNAcentral